ACUCACUGAUGCUUUGACAGUGUUUUGAUAUACUCAUCCAAUAGAUGAAACACCAUGUAUAACACCGUGAAGAAAAUAAUGGAUCAAUAAAACUGGAUGUUCCUUUCCAAAUAAGAACAAUUGAGCUCAUACAUUGCUAUGGAGGACAAAGAGCCAAUGUGAAGGCAAACGACAUAACAGUGUGGGUAGAUGCUGCCCCCUAACUCAGUAACAACGAUGAAUGAUAAUUCUCGGAGUUAUUUUUAAUAUAGUUUUUAUAAUAUUUUAAGAGCUAAUUUUAGCAUUUAAAUUAGUUUUUAUUGUAUUUUAUAAUUUUUUAAAUUAAUUAUAUUUUAUUUAAAUUUUGUUUGUUUUUCAUAUUUUUAGAGUUAAUUUGGGUU
This 380-nucleotide long non-coding RNA is filed under the name Gossypium raimondii (Peruvian cotton). RNAcentral's name for it is "long non-coding RNA (GRAI_LNC003261)". Lineage: Eukaryota; Viridiplantae; Streptophyta; Magnoliopsida; Malvales; Malvaceae. The record is from RNAcentral.